RNAcentral lists this ribosomal RNA (463 nucleotides) under uncultured bacterium. RNAcentral describes it as "partial 16S ribosomal RNA". It matches the Rfam family "Bacterial small subunit ribosomal RNA", at positions 28 to 507 of the family's 1533-position model. The record is from RNAcentral.
GACGAACGCUGGCGGCGUGCUUAACACAUGCAAGUCGAACGGUGAACCUCUUCGGAGGGGAUCAGUGGCGAACGGGUGAGUAACACGUGGGCAACCUGCCCCCGGCUCUGGGAUAACUCCAAGAAAUUGGGGCUAAUACCGGAUGUUCACCGCUUCCCGCAUGGGUGGUGGUGGAAAGGGUUUCCGGCUGGGGAUGGGCCCGCGGCCUAUCAGCUUGUUGGUGGGGUAGUGGCCUACCAAGGCGACGACGGGUAGCCGGCCUGAGAGGGUGACCGGCCACACUGGGACUGAGACACGGCCCAGACUCCUACGGGAGGCAGCAGUGGGGAAUAUUGCGCAAUGGGCGGAAGCCUGACGCAGCGACGCCGCGUGGGGGAUGACGGCCUUCGGGUUGUAAACCUCUUUCAGCAGGGACGAAGCGCAAGUGACGGUACCCGCAGAAGAAGCACCGGCUAACUACGUG